RNAcentral lists this transfer-messenger RNA (363 nucleotides) under Candidatus Azambacteria bacterium. It matches the Rfam family "transfer-messenger RNA". From Rfam's summary of the family: Bacterial tmRNA, also known as 10Sa RNA or SsrA, is named for its dual tRNA and mRNA-like properties. Its role is to liberate the mRNA from a stalled ribosome. Lineage: Bacteria; Candidatus Azamiibacteriota. The record is from RNAcentral.
GGGGGUGAUGGGCUUCGAUAGUAUUUUGAAAUUAAAUAUGCAAGCCGAGGACGUCUCGUCACCUCGCAAUUAAAUCCUCGAGACAAGGCAAAUAAUAACUGCCAAAACAAAUUUGAAUCCCGCUUUAGCUUUUGCUUAAGCGGCAUCGGCUGUCUGAUGUCUAAUACGGCAAUACCGGUGUCAACCCUUUAGGCUUUAACCCGUAGAAUUCUUCGCUCCGGGCGGAAAUUAUAGAAGAAACAGAGGGCUUCUUAUUUUGAUUGUUUUGAGAGAACCUUCUGAAAAAACAAAACAACCUAAGCUUGUAGUAAUAUUUAAUUUUUUAAAUUCUAGAUGCGAGUUCAACUCUCGCCACUUCCAUAA